RNAcentral lists this ribosomal RNA (478 nucleotides) under uncultured bacterium. RNAcentral describes it as "partial 16S ribosomal RNA". It matches the Rfam family "Bacterial small subunit ribosomal RNA", at positions 28 to 507 of the family's 1533-position model. The record is from RNAcentral.
GAUGAACGCUGGCGGCGUGCUUAACACAUGCAAGUCGAACGAGAAGUGGAGACGGACACCUUCGGGCGGAGGACUUUACUUCGAGUGGCGGACGGGUGAGUAACGCGUGGGUAACCUGCCUCAUACAGGGGGAUAACAGUUGGAAACGACUGUUAAUACCGCAUAAGACCACAGCACCGCAUGGUGCGGGGGUAAAAACUCCGGUGGUAUGAGAUGGACCCGCGUUCGAUUAGCCAGUUGGCGGGGUAACGGCCCACCAAAGCGACGAUCGAUAGCCGAUCUGAGAGGAUGACCGGCCACAUUGGGACUGAGACACGGCCCAAACUCCUACGGGAGGCAGCAGUGGGGAAUAUUGCACAAUGGGGGAAACCCUGAUGCAGCGACGCCGCGUGAGUGAAGAAGUAUUUCGGUAUGUAAAGCUCUAUCAGCAGGGAAGAAAAUGACAGUACCUGAGUAAGAAGCCCCGGCUAACUACGUG